RNAcentral lists this long non-coding RNA (314 nucleotides) under Mytilus galloprovincialis (Mediterranean mussel). Lineage: Eukaryota; Metazoa; Mollusca; Bivalvia; Mytilida; Mytilidae. The record is from RNAcentral.
CAUCAGUUGAUAUAAAAUACUACUUAGUUUAGUAUCAUUUUGUACAAGUCUUGUCCAGAAUGAUACCAUUCUAAGUUUAACUUUAAUUUCGAGGGGAAAUCUCCCAAGCUCACCUAAAACCAUAAAAUUUGGCGUAGUGUUCCUUACUUUGAGUACUCUUUUACAAAACUUCAAAUGGAUUUGCUCAAUAGUUUUGAGGUUUUCGUAUCCCCAGAUUUCUGAACCAUACAAUAAAAUUGGUUCUAUCAUCGAGUCAAAUAGCUUUAAUUGGAUAUCAACAGGUAUAGACUCAUUUCUGAUAAGUUUAUAAACAC